Molecule: ribosomal RNA, 468 nt
Filed under: uncultured bacterium
Lineage: Bacteria
Description: partial 16S ribosomal RNA
Rfam family: Bacterial small subunit ribosomal RNA
Source: RNAcentral
GACGAACGCUGGCGGCGUGCUUAACACAUGCAAGUCGAACGGAAAGGCCCUGCUUUUGUGGGGUGCUCGAGUGGCGAACGGGUGAGUAACACGUGAGUAACCUGCCCUUGACUUUGGGAUAACUUCAGGAAACUGGGGCUAAUACCGGAUAGGAGCUCCUGCUGCAUGGUGGGGGUUGGAAAGUUUCGGCGGUUGGGGAUGGACUCGCGGCUUAUCAGCUUGUUGGUGGGGUAGUGGCUUACCAAGGCUUUGACGGGUAGCCGGCCUGAGAGGGUGACCGGCCACAAUGGGACUGAGAUACGGACCAGACUGCAACGGGAGGCAGCAGUGGGGAAUAUUGCACAAUGGGGGGAAGUGUGAUGCAGCGACGCCGCGUGCGGGAUGACGGCUUUCGGGUUAUAAACCGCUUUCGCCUGUGACGAAGCGUGAGUGACGGUACUGGGUAAAGAAGCACCGGCUAACUACGCG